GAUGAAGAACGUAGCGAAAUGCGAUAAGUAAUGCGAAUUGCAGAAUUCAGUGAGUCAUCGAAUCUUUGAACGCACAUUGCGCCCUGUGGUAUUCCGCAGGGCAUGCCUGUUCGAGCGUCAUUUCAACCCUCAAGCCUCGCUUGGUGUUGGGCCCUGCCCGCCGCGGCCGGCCCUAAAGAUAGUGGCGGCGCCGCCUGGCCCUCAGCGUAGUACAGCUCUCGCUCCAGGGUCCGGCGGCAGCCUGCCAGCACCCCCCAACUCUGUGGUUGACCUCGGAUCAGGUAGGGAUACCCGCUGAACUUAAGCAUAUCAAUAAGCGGAGGA
RNAcentral lists this unclassified non-coding RNA (324 nucleotides) under soil metagenome. Its description in RNAcentral is "partial contains 5.8S ribosomal RNA, internal transcribed spacer 2, and large subunit ribosomal RNA". The stretch from base 1 to 120 matches the Rfam family "5.8S ribosomal RNA", at positions 35 to 154 of the family's 154-position model. The record is from RNAcentral.